AGCGCAAGAGUGGGACCUCAGUCACAGCUGCUUUAAAAGGGGAAAGUUUCAGUAUUUGGUGUGCAGUGCUGUGGCUGAUGAAGUCGACAGAUCAAGCCCACAAUAUAAGUAGCGGGACACCGACAAGGGUUUUUACAUUCAAGCGCUGUCUAUUGAAACUAAUCUGGAAGGUUUUCUGGAACCCAAAGAUGACAUUCUUUCUUGUCUUCGUAUUCAUUUCAGAACCACCAUUUUCCUCCAGUAUAGAGCCAAGACAAACCUCCAUCUCAAAACCUCCCAACGUCUCUGAAAGACACAGGCUAUGUGUGUUACCUGCUCUAGUUGUAUUCAGCCUGGGGGUCUUAGGGGUUUAUUUGCUCUAUAAAUGGAAGAGGGGAUGUGAGCCAGUAGCUGAUGCUGAAGCAGCCAGAGAUCCAGUGUGAAGCGCUUGCAUUCAGUGAAGAACACAAGCGACUUAUGAAUGACACAAAUGAUUUCAACUAGUUUAAAGCCAGAUGAAACAGCACUGACAAAUAGCAGAAGCACUGUGAGCAAUGAGACAGUCAGAAGCCUUUUCAGUCUAUAAAUCGCCAUCAUUUACCAUGGGUUUACUGUAGUAACACGAACCACUAUGGUAUUGUGGCAGAGAUGCGGGAUAUUCAGAUAGAAUUUUAUUAUAUUAUUCACGUAGACUAUAGCGUUUGUGCUUUUAUACUAAAUGUGUUUCGACUACUGUUUUUCAUACAAAUACCUAGAAACAAAGUUAAAUUUUUACCUUGGUGUUGAGGUGUUAUGUGUGGUUUUAACUGUGGUUAUCAUGAUCUAAAUGUGUGCUAUAUGGAAGACCAGUGGUUAAAUUUAAUAAAACUCAAAUAGUCAGAACAAUUACAUUUCACCAUAAUUUUUUUACAAU
RNAcentral lists this long non-coding RNA (892 nucleotides) under Sinocyclocheilus grahami. RNAcentral describes it as "lncRNA (ENSSGRG00000047025.1)". The record is from RNAcentral. Lineage: Eukaryota; Metazoa; Chordata; Actinopteri; Cypriniformes; Cyprinidae.